Molecule: transfer RNA, 72 nt
Filed under: Loxodonta africana (African savanna elephant)
Lineage: Eukaryota; Metazoa; Chordata; Mammalia; Proboscidea; Elephantidae
Rfam family: tRNA
About the family: Transfer RNA (tRNA) molecules are approximately 80 nucleotides in length. Their secondary structure includes four short double-helical elements and three loops (D, anti-codon, and T loops).
Source: Rfam by way of RNAcentral
GGGGAUGUAUCUGAGCGGUAGAGUGUACGCUUUGUAUGUAUGAAGCCCUGGGUUCAAUCCCCAGAAUCUCCA